Molecule: ribosomal RNA, 342 nt
Filed under: uncultured Anoxybacillus sp.
Lineage: Bacteria; Bacillati; Bacillota; Bacilli; Caryophanales; Anoxybacillaceae
Description: bacterial SSU rRNA
Rfam family: Bacterial small subunit ribosomal RNA
Source: RNAcentral
UGGUGCAUGGUUGUCGUCAGCUCGUGUCGUGAGAUGUUGGGUUAAGUCCCGCAACGAGCGCAACCCUCGACCUUAGUUGCCAGCAUUCAGUUGGGCACUCUAAGGUGACUGCCGGCUAAAAGUCGGAGGAAGGUGGGGAUGACGUCAAAUCAUCAUGCCCCUUAUGACCUGGGCUACACACGUGCUACAAUGGGCGGUACAAAGGGUCGCGAACCCGCGAGGGGGAGCCAAUCCCAAAAAGCCGCUCUCAGUUCGGAUUGCAGGCUGCAACUCGCCUGCAUGAAGCCGGAAUCGCUAGUAAUCGCGGAUCAACAUGCCGCGGUGAAUACGUUCCCGGGCCUU